AGCAAAAGCGUUCACUGUGUCACUCAAAUGGGAUAUCCAGUAAUCUGGCGGAUAGAAGACAUUUACUACCCUGUUAUUUCAGCCGCUGGAAUUCCCGUUCCAGUUCCGUCUCACUGAUAUCUGUCCAGCAAACGAUCAGCGUUAUGCAACACCGCAUGGUUUGUCCAUAAAGCAACAAAGUCUUUUUUUCACAAUUAUGUCGGCUGGGAGAGACAAUAAGUAGAUAAUCGGCACUUUAUAAAAUUAUACUUUACUCUGGCAACUGGACAGCGC
Long non-coding RNA from Hypanus sabinus (Atlantic stingray), 273 nucleotides. RefSeq lists it as uncharacterized. Lineage: Eukaryota; Metazoa; Chordata; Chondrichthyes; Myliobatiformes; Dasyatidae. The record is from RefSeq and is a predicted model, not a curated record. The transcript has 3 exons.